This 379-nucleotide ribosomal RNA is filed under the name uncultured bacterium. Its description in RNAcentral is "bacterial SSU rRNA". It matches the Rfam family "Bacterial small subunit ribosomal RNA", at positions 30 to 412 of the family's 1533-position model. The record is from RNAcentral.
AUUGAACGCUGGCGGCAUGCCUUACACAUGCAAGUCGAACGGCAGCACGGGAGCAAUCCUGGUGGCGAGUGGCGAACGGGUGAGUAAUAUAUCGGAACGUGCCCAGUCGUGGGGAUAACGUAGCGAAAGCUACGCUAAUACCGCAUACGAUCUAUGGAUGAAAGCGGGGGAUCGCAAGACCUCGCGCGAUUGGAGCGGCCGAUAUUAGAUUAGGUAGUUGGUGAGGUAAAGGCUCACCAAGCCGACGAUCUGUAGCUGGUCUGAGAGGACGACCAGCCACACUGGGACUGAGACACGGCCCAGACUCCUACGGAGGCAGCAGUGGGGAAUUUUGGACAAUGGCGCAAGCCUGAUCCAGCAAUGCCGCGUGCAGGAUGAA